This 1096-nucleotide long non-coding RNA is filed under the name Dromaius novaehollandiae (emu). Its description in RNAcentral is "lncRNA (ENSDNVG00000011177.1)". The record is from RNAcentral. Lineage: Eukaryota; Metazoa; Chordata; Aves; Casuariiformes; Dromaiidae.
CGGAGAAGGUGGCACCGUGGGGACAUCGCGUAACAGCAGGAAGCGGGCGAGGGGGACAGCGGCCAUCACCUCACCUCUGGCCACCCCCAGGGUCUCCCCGGCUCCGGCAAGCCCCCCRUCACCUUAACUCCGCCCACCAAAGCGGGACCCAAGCAGCGGAGCGACAGGGUGACAGCGGAGCCUUGUCCCCGCCGGGUCCCCGAGGGCGGGAGGAGUUGGGGACCCGGGUGGGGGGGUGUCGGGGUCACCUGACGCCUGUGGGCGGAGCCCUGGGAGGAAGGAGGUGGAGGAGACCGGGGGCAACUCGGCCUUGACUGGGUCGGGCUCAAACCACCUCCCAACGGUCAACGUCAACCCAACGGGAAGAGGCUGAUCCACCAAUGGGCAACCUCGGUGGGGAACAGGCCAAUCGGAGAACGCCUGGUUGAUCGGCACCCAGCCAAUCACCAACAGUCACUCCAGGUCUUCAGGGACCCAAGCGGGAAGAUGGAAACGCAACCAUAAGCCAAGUCUUGAAGGGGCCAAUCGGAAGAGGCCGAGCUCUGGGCCGAGCCAAUCACCACGGCCGAGCAAAGCCUGGAAGAACCCAACUAGGAGAGGUCGACCAAAGCCAAAACCAAUGCAGCCACCACCAGCCAAUCGCUGUCUUGAUUGAAGCAACCGAAGGCCAAACACCUCUCCACCAACCGGAAGAGGCCAAUCCAGGCCCGCCCCAAGGCGGCCACCAAUGGUCAAGCCUGGAUCCGGAUCAAGCCGCUCCCCAAUGGCCCAAUCCGGUCUCGACCAACUCAGCUCAGGUCUUAACAGGCCAAUCCGGCCACCAAUGGCCAACGCAGGUCUACAACAGGCCAAUGAGAAGGCACCAACCAAAGGCUGGUCCCAACGAACCAAUGAGAGGAAGGCGAGGACGGCCACGGUGACGAAGAACUGGGCGGCGGCGGCGAAGUCGCCGACCAGGUGGGUCUCGGCCGCCGCCGUCUCGUUGCAGAGCUGCUUCAGCGACGGGGUGAAGGUGGCGUAGUUCAACCUGGGGCGGGGCCGGGGGACACGUUCGGCUCCCGUCCCGCGGCCCAGGGCGUCCUCCUGCCCUUCUCCA